UGGGGAAUCUUGGACAAUGGGCGCAAGCCUGAUCCAGCCAUGCCGCGUGAGUGAAGAAGGUCUUCGGAUUGUAAAGCUCUUUUGCCAGGGACGAUAAUGACGGUACCUGGAGAAUAAGCCCCGGCAAACUUCGUGCCAGCAGCCGCGGUAAUACGAAGGGGGCUAGCGUUGUUCGGAAUUACUGGGCGUAAAGCGCACGUAGGCGGGUCGUUAAGUCAGGGGUGAAAUCCCGGAGCUCAACUCCGGAACUGCCUUUGAUACUGGCGAUCUUGAGAUCGGAAGAGGUGAGUGGAAUUCCCAGUGUAGAGGUGAAAUUCGUAGAUAUUGGGAAGAACACCAGUGGCGAAGGCGGCUCACUGGUCCGAUACUGACGCUGAGGUGCGAAAGCGUGGGGAGCAAACA
This 402-nucleotide ribosomal RNA is filed under the name uncultured bacterium. RNAcentral's name for it is "bacterial SSU rRNA". It matches the Rfam family "Bacterial small subunit ribosomal RNA", at positions 355 to 774 of the family's 1533-position model. The record is from RNAcentral. RNAcentral also lists the same sequence under 3 other names.